This is a long non-coding RNA of Corapipo altera (White-ruffed manakin), 4314 nucleotides long. RefSeq lists it as uncharacterized. Lineage: Eukaryota; Metazoa; Chordata; Aves; Passeriformes; Pipridae. The transcript is spliced from 2 exons. The record is from RefSeq and is a predicted model, not a curated record.
GCAAGUGCUGACUGCUGGGAGCCUGUUCUGCCUCCCAACUGGUACCUGUCGUGCUUUUCCACAGCCCUCUCCUGAUUUCUGAAUCUCACAUGUGGGAUCAGAAAAGGUUCAUCUAGAGGUGCAAAUCUGUCUGACAAAGAGACGAGCUGACCUGCCAAGGCCUGCAGGAGGCUCAUGGUGUGCCAGCACUGGACUGAAAUGAGCCAAAGUAAGCAAUGGCCAGAGAAGCUUCUGGGUUUGAACCUGCUGAUUCCUGCAGCAGAACACUUCCUUGAGUAGUACCAAAUUGUUUUGCUGUAACGUAGUGUCUUGUGGUUGGAUUCUUUGGUUUCCUAAAAAGUCAAACCGCAACUGAAACUCCUGCAGCAGUUGGGAUGUUCUUAAAUUCCUAUGCUUUAGGGAUUGCCUGCUACCGAUGUCUCCAGGAUUCGCUCUCUUGGCUGGACUUGCCUCAGUGAGAGCACUAACACAGCACUCCCACCUUUUCUCUCUGCCCUUCUGUUUCCAUGACCUUUGAAAAAGUCAAACACCUUAAGAUCCUCUCUCAACAGUGUCCAAGUUAAAAGUUUAUUAGGAGGACCUGAGGAACAGAAACAUAGAAUUUAUCACCAAAUAAGCCUCACGUAUUACAGAAAUUGCUGGAAACUGGGUGAGAAGAGCUAAGACAUGGAGAUCACUUCUGGGUUUUGCCCCUUUACCAUUGUAGCCUCUGGGUCUCUGUUGCACAGAGCUGUUAUUUCACUCUCUCUGCUGCAGCCCCAGUUCCUCCUGGUGUCUACCAAUAGUCCUGAGCAACAGCAGGAAACAUUCCUCUCUGCCAUCUCUGCAGAACAGCUUCCAGGGGAAAGGAUAGGAGCUGCAAAACCUAGGCCCCUGCUGUUAGGCAGGUACAUUCUUACUCCAGAGAAGUUCCUGAAAGCUUUAACUCAGGUAGGCAAAGGAGGACAGGUUUUGAAAGCAGAAAAUUGAGCAAAUUAGCAGGCAAUAACUGAAGUUUCCACCUCUAAUCCAAUUCUUACACUGGUUUAUAGUCACUUAGAGCCCUGCAAAGUCAAGAUGGUGUUGAGGAGUACAGAAGAAAUUGGUGUUAGGAUCUUACCUACUUGGAAUUUUUCUAGUUCUGAGAGAACAGCAGUCUGACAUCCCCUCAGACAUCAUUUAUGAUGCACUACUUCUGUAGUGUUCAGGAAUAGUGCAUGUCUUUGAUUUGAGUACAAAUUGGCUCUUGGGCAUAAAUAAAGAUUGAGAAGCCAAAGUUUGUGUCAGGAUCUCAGUUUUGAACUCAGUAUCCUUGGAACUGAAUCUGUGCUUUGAUUUAUCACUUUUGUUCCAGCUUGAAUUAUGUUAUAACCAGAACCUGCACGAAUUGCUUCUCAGGUAUUUCUGUUCUUUAUCAUUAUCUUGAUUUGUUUCUAUAGGAUAGUUAAGACAAAGCCCCUCGUGAAAGGAUGAGAAAUCCUCUGUUCACACUCAGGAGAAAUGUCUGCCACAAUGCUGACUUUUCUGACUAGACUGCAGGAUUCUGUCAGCCUGUUUAAGCUCAGAAAAAAGUUUACUUUGCUGAACAGUCUUUUUUUAGUGUAAAGAAGAGUAGAACAUUCUUUUGAAAUGAAGAAAAUUUUAAAAAUCCCACCAAAUCAAAGUGCAGUCACAUACUCUACUGAUGAAGAGACUGUAGGAACCUAUAUUGACUACAAUUGUAUGUAGAGAAAGAAACAACAUUUAACAUAGAACAAACGAACAAAGUAAGUGGCAUUUCUUAAAGCUGAAUCUAGGAAUUGCAAAGAGUCAAAAAUGCUUUAAAUCACUGGAACUUGUUUCGGGUACAAAGAAACUAAUUGGGAUUUGAAGUACUAUUUAUUAUGGAGAAGAGUGAUCCCAAAAGCUGAGAGAGUGUCAAAGAGUUAAAAGUUAUGAAUUUACCAAGAAAAAACAUGAGUCAAUAUCAAAAAGUUUCCAAGAUGACCAUCUGAAAAUAUUUUGGGUUCAAUUCAACAGAUCAAAAGAGCUUGCUUGAAUUGAACUUUAAAAUAAAUAUAUAAAAAAAUAGGUUUAGAAGUACAAGCUGUUUAAUUGUUUGAAGUGAACAUGCUUUCCUUUCACACAAUUUGAAUUUAAUUUAUUAGAGUUUUCUGAUUCAAAACCAUUUCAUGAAUGUGGGAAGACUGGGAUGUAUGGUGUAUUUAUUGCUAAGUGAGAAUCUCAUCUGGUUGCUGCAAGUCAGUGCAGUCAAUUCUUGACCUGAAGGAUAAUGCCAUUACAGUGGGAUCAUAAGGUGUUACAAUAUUGUCCAAAGGAUCUGAGGGACAAGCAUGUAAAAGCCUUGGAAGUCUAUUUUGUCUGACAAUACAGGCAUCUGAAUUUUGCCUAGAAGUUUAUAUUUUCUGCAGUUUAACGUUGCUGACUAGUGGUUUGCAUCCCUGUGAGGAUCUGGCCCUUAACUGAAAAUAUUCCAAUGCUUUGUGAAAUUAUAUCAUUCAGUGAAAAAAACCCAACAAAUCUUGAUUGUCAGCAUGUGUCACGCAGGAGCUGUUUUUUGGUUUGGUGCCAGUGCACUUUUUCACCAGUUCUUAGAUUGACAAGUGUAUUUCUUCAUGAUAAAUUAAAAAAAAAAAUAAAUAAAAAUCUCCUCUCCUCCCUCCUGCCCAUCUUUGCUCUUCUCCCAGCUGUCAUCACUGUUUACAGUUUGAGUAAGCAAAAAUAUAUAUAUUUACAAGUACAGCUUACUGCUGUGUUUGCUGGUAUAGACUGCCUGGGGGCAUAUCUGUGAAUGGAGCACAUACAUAAAUAUACCCCCUUCUCCUGUCAGCCUCUCCCCUCCCCUACCUUGUUUUCUUAAGCUGUGUGUUAAAUCUCUUCUGUUGGAUUCUGUUGGAUUCUGAUUUUGGAGGGAGACUAACGUCUUCCCUCAUGGCUGUACGUGAGUGCUGUCAGAUCUUGGGCACUAAACAUGAGGUUCCCACCACUCCCAAACCUCCUGUCCUUCCCAAACACUGCUGUUCCCUCUCUCCUGCCCUGUGAACCUGCCCACUGGAUUAACUGAGGUCACGGAGCAGGAGGAACGUCGUGUUGCAGCUGAACUGUUCCACCUCUUGGGGUUGUGUGUGAAAGUAGAAGAUUUUAUUUUCAGCUGCAGCCUCAUGCUAAUGGCCCUUCUCCCAACUGGACAUGUGCCCAUUGGACAAUCCCAGAGCAUCCUGGUUGCCUGCCAGCCCCAGAUGCCAGAAGCAUGUCCCCACUUCCUCUCCCCUUGCAUGAUGAAGUCUGCGGGGUCUCAUCCACCAUAAGGCAGGAAAGUCACAUCUUGCAUGCUUUUGGGGCAGUGGAUCCUUAUGAAGGCCUCCAGAUGUUAUUGUAAUAGCAAUUAAAAAUCUACCAUAACUAACUGAAUAAUGGACAAUAAAUUUUAAAUCAGGUUUUUCAUAUGGUUUUAUAAAAAUGUGACAAACAUCCAUGGUCUCAUCAGAACUAGGCUUCAGCAUUGUGCUUGUGGCAUUCCAACUGCUCCCGACUGCAAGUCCUGCUGAGGCCAAAUGAAAGCUGAUGGUUCCAGGAAGUUUUGCAGGAUUUCUUCUCAGUGCUCAUCUAGUCAGAAAGCAGUCACAGCACCAAACCUGACACAGUUCAAGAAGCGUUCGGACAAUACUCCCAGGCACGUGGUGUGACUCUUGGGGAUGGUCCUGUGCUCGCCCAGGAGCUGGACUCAAUGGUCUUUGUGAGUCCCUUCCAACUCAGCACACUCUGUGAUUCUGAGCAUCCAGCGGUUAAAUUCACUAACCUGUGUUCAGUCCCUAACUCCCAUGGGAAUUGCCCUUAUAAGUUUGGGAAAGACAUUAAGGACUUGUUUAUGCUGCUAAAAUUAACUUGAUUUUUUUACUCCAGUGUUACUGCUGAACACUUAGCUGCUACAUGUUAUACCAGUAGAGACAAAACAUGUUAGUUUUAGUCUGAAGUGUAUUUGCUGAAGUUGAUUCAGUAGCACAGUUGAAGGUUUUGUUUGUUUGUUUUGUAACUAGGAUGCAUUUAGUGGUUCUGAAGUAAAAGAAGAAUGCAGCUUUUUAAAGAUACUUUUCUACCUAGGAAAUGGGCAUGAUAGUAAUUAAAUUUCUCUCCAUGACACUGUUGAGUACAGUGUAAAAGCUGACAGACUGUAUUUGUUGUGGGAGCCAUUGUGGGAGAUGAAGAUAGCUCUGUACCCAAGGUUUCCAGGAUAUAUUCAGGUAUGGACAAAAAUAUAUUUAGAUAUUUGUUUCAACUCUGCAUUUCACUCAUCUGUGUCACGAUAACUAAAAAUAAAAACUACAGGGAAACUAG